Molecule: ribosomal RNA, 329 nt
Filed under: uncultured eukaryote
Lineage: Eukaryota
Description: partial 18S ribosomal RNA
Rfam family: Eukaryotic small subunit ribosomal RNA
Source: RNAcentral
CCCUUAGAUGUUCUGGGCCGCACGCGCGCUACACUGAUGAAUUCAACGAGUCUAAAACCUGCUCUGAUAGGGGUGGGUAAUCUUUUGAAUGUGCAUCGUGAUUGGGAUAGAUGAUUGCAAUUUUUCAUCUUCAACGAGGAAUGCCUAGUAAACGCAAGUCAUCAGCUUGCAUUGAUUACGUCCCUGCCCUUUGUACACACCGCCCGUCGCUCCUACCGAUUGAAUGAUCCGAUGAAUAUCAUGGAUUGAGGAUGCAAGUAGGUUAGCCUAUCUUCAUCUUCGAGAAGUGAAGUAAAUCUUAUCAUUUAGAGGAAGGAGAAGUCGUAACA